RNAcentral lists this ribosomal RNA (900 nucleotides) under Bacilli bacterium. Its description in RNAcentral is "bacterial SSU rRNA". It matches the Rfam family "Bacterial small subunit ribosomal RNA", at positions 67 to 931 of the family's 1533-position model. Lineage: Bacteria; Bacillati; Bacillota; Bacilli. The record is from RNAcentral.
CGAANCUUCUUUAUCACCGAGUGCUUGCACUCACCGAUAAAGAGUUGAGUGGCGAACGGGUGAGUAACACGUGGGCAACCUGCCCAAAAGAGGGGGAUAACACUUGGAAACAGGUGCUAAUACCGCAUAACCAUAGUUACCGCAUGGCAACUAUGUAAAAGGUGGCUAUGCUACCGCUUUUGGAUGGGCCCGCGGCGCAUUAGCUAGUUGGUGAGGUAAAGGCUUACCAAGGCAAUGAUGCGUAGCCGAACUGAGAGGUUGAUCGGCCACAUUGGGACUGAGACACGGCCCAAACUCCUACGGGAGGCAGCAGUAGGGAAUCUUCCACAAUGGGCGAAAGCCUGAUGGAGCAACGCCGCGUGGGUGAAGAAGGUCUUCGGAUCGUAAAACCCUGUUGUUAGAGAAGAAAGUGCGUGAGAGUAACUGUUCACGUUUCGACGGUAUCUAACCAGAAAGCCACGGCUAACUACGUGCCAGCAGCCGCGGUAAUACGUAGGUGGCAAGCGUUAUCCGGAUUUAUUGGGCGUAAAGGGAACGCAGGCGGUCUUUUAAGUCUGAUGUGAAAGCCUUCGGCUUAACCGGAGUAGUGCAUUGGAAACUGGGAGACUUGAGUGCAGAAGAGGAGAGUGGAACUCCAUGUGUAGCGGUGAAAUGCGUAGAUAUAUGGAAGAACACCAGUGGCGAAAGCGGCUCUCUGGUCUGUAACUGACGCUGAGGUUCGAAAGCGUGGGUAGCAAACAGGAUUAGAUACCCUGGUAGUCCACGCCGUAAACGAUGAAUGCUAAGUGGUUGGAGGGUUUCCGCCCUUCAGUGCUGCAGCUAACGCAAUAAGCAUUCCGCCUGGGGGAGUACGACCGCAAGGUUGAAACUCAAAGGAAUUGACGGGGGCCCGCACAAGCG